This 253-nucleotide ribosomal RNA is filed under the name Parasegetibacter sp. Its description in RNAcentral is "partial 16S ribosomal RNA". It matches the Rfam family "Bacterial small subunit ribosomal RNA", at positions 524 to 776 of the family's 1533-position model. The record is from RNAcentral. Lineage: Bacteria; Pseudomonadati; Bacteroidota; Chitinophagia; Chitinophagales; Chitinophagaceae. RNAcentral also lists the same sequence under 1 other name.
UACGGAGGGUGCAAGCGUUAUCCGGAUUCACUGGGUUUAAAGGGUGCGUAGGUGGACAUGUAAGUCAGUGGUGAAAUCCCCGAGCUUAACUUGGGAACUGCCGUUGAUACUAUAUGUCUUGAAUAUCGUGGAGGUAAGCGGAAUAUGUCAUGUAGCGGUGAAAUGCAUAGAUAUGACAUAGAACACCAAUAGCGAAGGCAGCUUGCUACACGAUCAUUGACACUGAGGCACGAAAGCGUGGGGAGCAAACAGG